AGAGUCUCGUUUCAAUUCAUUUAAAUAUCAGAGCAUUUCUUAAACAGAUUAGAUGGAUGGACAGACAGGUGGAUGGAUUAUAGACAUAGGUGAGCAUGCAGAUAGAUAGAUAGAUAGAUAGGUGGAUAGGUGGAUAGAUAGCUGGCUAGAUAGAUAGGUGGCUAGAUGGAUGAAUGGAUAAUACAUAUAGAUAGAUAGAUAGAUAGAUAGAUAGAUAGGUGGCUGGAUGAAUGGAUGGAUAAUAGAUAGAUAGGUGGAUGGAUGGAUGAAUGGAUAAUACAGACAGACAGAUAGAUAGACAGACAGACAGAGAUAGAUAUAUAGAUAGGUGGAUGAAUGAAUGGAUAAUAGACAUAGAGAGAUAGAUAGAUAGGUGGAUGGGUGGAUAAUAGACAUAGAUGAUAGAUAGGUGGAAAGAUAAUAAACAUAGAAAGGUAGAUAGGUGUCUGGAUAAAUGGAUGGAUAAUAGAUAGAUAGAUGGAUGGAUGGAUGAAUGGAUAAUACAGAUAGACAGAGAUAGGUAGCUGGAUGAAUGAAUGGAUAAUAGACAGAUAUAUAGAUAGGUGGAUGAAUGAAUGGAUAAUAGACAUAGAGAGAUAGAUAGAUAGGUGGAUGAAUGAAUGGAUAAUAGACAUAGAGAGAUAGAUAGAUAGGUGGAUGGAUGGAUGGAUAAUAGACAUAGAUAGAUAGAUAGGUGGAAAGAUAAUAAACAUAGAAAGGUGGAUAGAUAGAUAGGUGGCUGGAUGAAUGGAUGGAUAAUAGCUGGAUGAAUGAAUGGAUAAUACAGAUAGACAGAGAGAUAGAUAGGUGGAUGAAUGAAUGGAUAAUAGACAUAGAUAGAAAGAUAGAUAGAUAGAUAGAUAAUAAAGAGAAAGAUGGAUAGAUAGAUAGAUAGGUGGCUGGAUGAAUGGAUGGAUAAUAGAUAGAUAGGUGGAUGGAUGGAUGAAUGGAUAAUAUAGAUAGAUAGAUAAUAAAGAGAAAGGUGGAUAGAUAGAUGGAUGGAUGGAUGGAUGAAUGGAUAAUACAGAUAGAUAGAUAGGUGGCUGGAUGAAUGGAUGGAUAAUACAGACAAAUGGAUAGACAGACAGAGAGAUAGAUAUAUAGAUAGAUAGAUAGAUAGAUAGAUAGAUAGGUGGAUAGAUAGAUAGAUAGGUGGAUGGAUGGAUAAUAGACAUAGAUGAUAGGUGGAAAGAUAAUAAAUAUAGAAAGGUGGAUAGAUAGAUAGGUGUCUGGAUAAAUGGAUGGAUAAUAGGUAGAUAGAUGGAUGGAUGAAUGGAUAAUACAGAUAGACAGACAGAGAGCUAGGUAGCUGGAUGAAUGAAUGGAUAAUAGACAGAUAUAUAGAUGGGUGGAUGAACGAAUGGAUAAUAGACAUAGAUAGGUGGAAAGGUAAACAUAGAAAGGUGGAUAGAUAGAUAGGUGGCUGGAUGAAUGGAUGGAUAAUAGAUAGAUGGAUGGAUGGAUGGAUGGAUGGAUAAUACAGAUAGAGAGAUAGAUAGGUGGAUGAAUGAAUGGAUAAUAGACAUACAUAGAUAGAUAGAUAGACAUAGAGAGGUAGAUAGAUAGAUAAUAAAGAGAAAGGUGGAUAGAUAGAUGGAUGGAUGGAUGGAUGGAUAAUACAGAUAGACAGACAGAGAGAUAGAUAGGUGGAUGAAUGAAUGGAUAAUAGACAUAGAUAGAAAGAUAGAUAGAUCAUAAAGAGAAAGGUGGAUAGAUAUAUAGGUGGCUGGAUGGAUGAAUGGAUAAUACAGAUAGAUAGAUAGGUGGCUGGAUGAAUGGAUGGAUAAUACAGACAAAUGGAUAGACAGACAGAGAGAUAGAUAUAUAGAUAGAUAGAUAGAUAGGUGGAUAGAUAGAUAGAUAGAUAGAUAGGUGGAUGGAUGGAUAAUAGACAUAGAUGAUAGGUGGAAAGAUAAUAAAUAUAGAAAGGUGGAUAGAUAGAUAGGUGUCUGGAUAAAUGGAUGGAUAAUAGAUAGAUAGAUGGAUGGAUGAAUGGAUAAUACAGAUAGACAGACAGAGAGCUAGGUAGCUGGAUGAAUGAAUGGAUAAUAGACAGAUAUAUAGAUGGGUGGAUGAACGAAUGGAUAAUAGACAUAGAUAGGUGGAAAGAUAAACAUAGAAAGGUGGAUAGAUAGAUAGGUGGCUGGAUGAAUGGAUGGAUAAUAGAUAGAUGGAUGGAUGGAUGGAUGGAUGGAUAAUACAGAUAGAGAGAUAGAUAGGUGGAUGAAUGAAUGGAUAAUAGACA
Molecule: long non-coding RNA, 2245 nt
Organism: Ictalurus furcatus (blue catfish)
Lineage: Eukaryota; Metazoa; Chordata; Actinopteri; Siluriformes; Ictaluridae
Exons: 2
Source: RefSeq, a predicted model, not a curated record